GCUAUGGCUGUGUACGGAGUGUCCAGAAAAGCGCUAUAUAAGUGGAACGCGGCCUCCGUUCUUCUAGUUCAGAACACGGAGACACAUCCGACUGUAAAUCCUGACUGCAAGCAGACACCAGGACAGCAACACAAGAGCAGGCCUGUAGGGGUAGCAGAGUACCAGGCGAGAACCUAGUAUGGCCUUGAAGUUGAUCAUGUGUGGGUAUAUUUCCAGCAUGGCUUAAGUGUCACAAAAAGAACACAUUUAAUACAAUUGUAGCAAAAAGAUUUUAUUUGUUUUCCCCUUCUUUUCAGCAAAAAUUAUAGUAUUAAAAGUAUAGGCAUUGUACAUUG
Lepisosteus oculatus (spotted gar) is the source of this 335-nucleotide non-coding RNA. The record is from RefSeq and is a predicted model, not a curated record. Lineage: Eukaryota; Metazoa; Chordata; Actinopteri; Semionotiformes; Lepisosteidae.